AACAACUCAGUUGAGAGCUCCGUGACUGGUUCAAGGGAAGGUCAACCAAUGAUUGAUAGGCCAUUCCCUCCCUAUCCGUCUCUUGAUCCCUCAUUCCACUAAUCCGUUGUUACUGAUUCAUUCAAGGCAUAGACUCUCCAUUUCUUUGUCUUAUUAGCGCAGGUGUUCGUCAACGAUGAAAGCUGCUGAACUUCAGACUCGAGUGGAGAAAGAGGGCUAGGCCCCCGGAGGGCUUUCAGGGACUGGGGAAGACGGGUGGAUUAUAGAGCUAGGGUAGGGGCAAAUCGAAGGCCCAUCGGGAUUGGGCAUGGACGAGCCUCGACUGGGCCAGCAUUGAUGAAAAAAGAAAAACUUCCCCCAUCGCAUCAUUAACCGGUGUAGGAUUCAAGAUCAGGUCCAGGAUUCGAGUCAAAUCGACCUUCCCUCUCAUCUCAGGGUGAGGCAAGGAAU
This 450-nucleotide long non-coding RNA is filed under the name Nicotiana benthamiana. RNAcentral's name for it is "long non-coding RNA (NBEN_LNC014300)". The record is from RNAcentral. Lineage: Eukaryota; Viridiplantae; Streptophyta; Magnoliopsida; Solanales; Solanaceae.